Molecule: transfer RNA, 69 nt
Filed under: human gut metagenome
Rfam family: tRNA
About the family: Transfer RNA (tRNA) molecules are approximately 80 nucleotides in length. Their secondary structure includes four short double-helical elements and three loops (D, anti-codon, and T loops).
Source: RNAcentral
GCGCGGUAGUUCAGUUGGUUAGAAUGCCAGCCUGUCACGCUGGAGGUCGAGGGUUCGAACCCCUUCCGC